Molecule: small RNA, 483 nt
Filed under: Pan troglodytes (chimpanzee)
Lineage: Eukaryota; Metazoa; Chordata; Mammalia; Primates; Hominidae
Description: processed transcript
Source: RNAcentral
GUUGCUCCUCCCCUGGCAGCCUUGCGGGGGGUUAGAUCUCAGCCGGAGCCGGAGCUGGGCCUAGCUGUCCCACGGGCCACCACUACCUCCUUUGGUUCGGGAGAAAGCUACGACCAAGUACGCCCAGCUCGGGCCUUAGAACUUCUGAACGGGCAGUGCGGGUAGGCCCUGCUUAGCCCUUCCCGGAGGACACCUGACCAAAAGAGGAAGAUAGUCUUGGGACCCUUGCAUGGUGUUUCAAAGGGUGGUGAAGAACUAAGAUAUCUUCUUGAAGCCCUGCAUCCUCCCAUUCUAAUUUGAACUGUUAGCUUCCCAUCACUGUCAUCUUGGGUAGAAGAAUACAUGUUCACUUCCAGUGAACAAGAGCAUGUUCCCAAACUCAAUUUUGGGUCGCCCACCCUUCACUCCAAAUCAUCAACAACAUAAUAACUUCUUUACCCUGUCACCUACUGUUUAUUCACACCAGCAGCUUAUAGAUGCACA